UGAUAAUUAGUUUAAACAAAACAAAUGAUUUCGACUCAUUAGAUUGUGGUCGCCUCCAUAAUUAUCAA
Molecule: transfer RNA, 68 nt
Filed under: Scaptochirus moschatus (short-faced mole)
Lineage: Eukaryota; Metazoa; Chordata; Mammalia; Eulipotyphla; Talpidae
Description: tRNA-Arg
Rfam family: tRNA
About the family: Transfer RNA (tRNA) molecules are approximately 80 nucleotides in length.
Source: RNAcentral